This 549-nucleotide ribosomal RNA is filed under the name uncultured Herbaspirillum sp. RNAcentral's name for it is "bacterial SSU rRNA". It matches the Rfam family "Bacterial small subunit ribosomal RNA", at positions 355 to 897 of the family's 1533-position model. The record is from RNAcentral. Lineage: Bacteria; Pseudomonadati; Pseudomonadota; Betaproteobacteria; Burkholderiales; Oxalobacteraceae.
UGGGGAAUUUUGGACAAUGGGGGCAACCCUGAUCCAGCAAUGCCGCGUGAGUGAAGAAGGCCUUCGGGUUGUAAAGCUCUUUUGUCAGGAACGAAACGGUGAGGCCUAAUACGCCUUACUAAUGACGGUACCUGAAGAAUAAGCACCGGCUAACUACGUGCCAGCAGCCGCGGUAAUACGUAGGGUGCAAGCGUUAAUCGGAAUUACUGGGCGUAAAGCGUGCGCAGGCGGUUGUGCAAGACAGAUGUGAAAUCCCCGGGCUCAACCUGGGAAUUGCAUUUGUGACUGCACGGCUAGAGUGUGUCAGAGGGGGGUAGAAUUCCACGUGUAGCAGUGAAAUGCGUGGAUAUGUGGAGGAAUACCGAUGGCGAAGGCAGCCCCCUGGGAUAACACUGACGCUCAUGCACGAAAGCGUGGGGAGCAAACAGGAUUAGAUACCCUGGUAGUCCACGCCCUAAACGAUGUCUACUAGUUGUCGGGUCUUAAUUGACUUGGUAACGCAGCUAACGCGUGAAGUAGACCGCCUGGGGAGUACGGUCGCAAGAUUAA